This 65-nucleotide transfer RNA is filed under the name Sporobolus michauxianus (prairie cordgrass). Its description in RNAcentral is "partial tRNA-Tyr". It matches the Rfam family "tRNA", at positions 19 to 71 of the family's 71-position model. From Rfam's summary of the family: Transfer RNA (tRNA) molecules are approximately 80 nucleotides in length. Their secondary structure includes four short double-helical elements and three loops (D, anti-codon, and T loops). The record is from RNAcentral. Lineage: Eukaryota; Viridiplantae; Streptophyta; Magnoliopsida; Poales; Poaceae.
UAAUGGGGACGGACUGUAAAUUCGUUGACGAUAUGUCUACGCUGGUUCAAAUCCAGCUCGGCCCA